This is a long non-coding RNA of Austrofundulus limnaeus, 682 nucleotides long. RefSeq lists it as uncharacterized. The record is from RefSeq and is a predicted model, not a curated record. The transcript has 5 exons. Lineage: Eukaryota; Metazoa; Chordata; Actinopteri; Cyprinodontiformes; Rivulidae.
UGUUUGUCUCACUGUGUUCCUGUGAUGGACUUGCAACCUGUCCAGGGUGUACCCCGCCCCUCGCACUGUGGCUGCUGGAGAUGACCCCUGUGACUCAAAAAGGAAGAAGCAGGUUCUGUGUCUUAGCUGUUCCUGCCGUUCUGUUGAACCACUCUUCUAAUCUGAGAGGUCACAGUCUGCAGUGCUCCAAACCACCGACUGCAUGAGGUGGCAGCACACUGAUGCAUGCUGCUCAACAUGCUUCACAUUCAAAACAGCAGGAGUUCAUGGGUCAGGACCUAUCAGUCAGAAUGUAAACAUCACUUCAUCACCACAGCCAUCGGGUUGUCAUGGAAACCGCUGAGAGACACACGUCCAGGGUGAGAGAUGGAGGAUGGUGGGGGGUGGGGGGCAACGAGGGACACAGAAAGAAAGAGGGGGAGACAUGAAAGGUUAGGGUGUUACCAUAUCCCCCCGCCAUCAGCACCAUCAGCACCACCUCCCAGUUUWAAAGCUGAGCCCCCAGCCCCGGUCCAGGCGGCCCCCCUAUCACCCCGCCUUUCACCUUCCCCUGCCUUCAGCUCUCCAUCCCUCCCUCUUGUCCAGACAGGCUGCUCGCGUGGCGGGGAUGGAGACGUUCACCGAUGGAAGCACUGGUAACAAUAAUACUAAUAAUAAACAAGAAGCCUUCUCUUCCUGCUCA